AGAGUUUGAUCCUGGCUCAGAUUGAACGCUGGCGGAAUGCUUUACACAUGCAAGUCGAGCGGCAGCGCGGGGGCAACCCUGGCGGCGAGCGGCGAACGGGUGAGUAACAUAUCGGAACGUACCCAGUCGUGGGGGAUAACUAUCCGAAAGGAUAGCUAAUACCGCAUACGACCCGAGGGUGAAAGCGGGGGGACCGAAAGGCCUCGCGCGAUUGGAGCGGCCGAUAUCGGAUUAGCUAGUUGGUGAGGUAAAGGCUCACCAAGGCGACGAUCCGUAGCUGGUCUGAGAGGACGACCAGCCACACUGGAACUGAGACACGGUCCAGACUCCUACGGGAGGCAGCAGUGGGGAAUUUUGGACAAUGGGGGCAACCCCUGAUCCAGCCAUUCCGCGUGAGUGAAGAAGGCCUUCGGGUUGUAAAGCUCUUUCAGCAGGAACGAAACGGUGGUCCCUAAUACGGGCUACUAAUGACGGUACCUGAAGAAGAAGCACCGGCUAACUACGUG
Molecule: ribosomal RNA, 506 nt
Filed under: uncultured bacterium
Lineage: Bacteria
Description: bacterial SSU rRNA
Rfam family: Bacterial small subunit ribosomal RNA
Source: RNAcentral